GGGCCCGUAGUCUAGCCUGGAUAGGACACAAGCCUGCGGAGCUUGCGGCCCGGGUUCGAAUCCCGGCGGGCCCGCCA
Molecule: transfer RNA, 77 nt
Filed under: Hadesarchaea archaeon
Lineage: Archaea; Methanobacteriati; Hadarchaeota (SeqCode); Hadarchaeia (SeqCode)
Also listed under: 1 other name
Description: tRNA-Arg
Rfam family: tRNA
About the family: Transfer RNA (tRNA) molecules are approximately 80 nucleotides in length.
Source: RNAcentral